This is a long non-coding RNA of Felis catus (domestic cat), 7571 nucleotides long. RefSeq lists it as uncharacterized. The record is from RefSeq and is a predicted model, not a curated record. NCBI's taxonomy places the organism in Eukaryota, Metazoa, Chordata, Mammalia, Carnivora, Felidae. The transcript has 5 exons.
UCCUAGGGGGCUGCUGGCCACAUCUUAAAAACUCCCAAAUGUAAAUUCACAAAAUCCAUCUUGCUUGUUUUUCUAUAAUUUUAUUAUUAACAUAUGUAUGUUUCCAUUUUCUUCCCUCUUGUCAUUAAUUGAAAGAAUUACAGGUAAUCAAAAGUGGCAAAUAUUGAUGGAAAUUCUGUUAACUGGCUGUUAUUUCCAAUUGAGAGUAUUCAUUUUUCUGGAAAUCAUAUCCUACUGAGUCACUAUGAAGAUGGCCUCGAUGGCUUCUACUUCACUUACUCCCAUAAGCAUAACUGGUCCUAAGUGGGAUUUUUUCAUUUUGGUCAGACUUUGACCCUGAUUGCAACAAAAUCCGGAGGCAGAUAUUCACACCGGAGCGCCCCGCCUCCCCGCGUGUCAGAAGCCAUAUCGCCGCAAAUGCCUCACACACCUCGGAGCGCAGCUUGUGGAACUGAUGAGGGCAAUAUUCUCAAAAGUCGAUGUUACUGAUUGAUCUGAGAUCUCCUUUUACUUUCUAUGAGAAAAACCUACCACCAGCUGCCCCAAAAUUCCCAUAUUCAGGAGAGCAUGGCUGGGAGCCUUGUGAGUUUUCCUGAAGGUGUUGAAUGAGAAGGCCAUGGCCAUGAUCACUUCCUCAAUGGCGUCUUGCACUGAUUGUGUUUUAAGGCUCAUUAUGAAUUGCAGGCAUGGCAGGAGCCCCAAGCAACCAUGCAAGAAAUUCAACUGCCUGAAGCCCCUGUGCUAUAAAGGAGCCCAAGCCAUAUGAAAAGGCCAGGCUCUGCAGCCAACAGCCCCCAAGCUGACCUCCCAGCUGCCCGCCAUCUUGGAUACCCAGUCUCGGUGAGCCUUCAGAUGCAAGUGUUUCCUGGACGUCAGUGUACUUUCUGGAUGAAGCUGGCAAAGACAGCCAUCCCCACCAACGAUGACGACUGUAGAAUUUUAAAGGGUGAUUGGUUAUGGUGCCUAGAAGGUAAUAAAGACAACUGGCUACCCAUGAUGUUCAUCGAGGACUGGUUUGCUAUAAUUCCUCUCUGGGGCGGGAUAAAGUGUAUUUGCCCUUUCCUACUCCCCAUUUGGACAGUAAGUCUAGGGGAGAUGAUGUGGCAUAACAGAAAUGCCAUUAAAGCCCAAAGCAGGGCACUGGGCUUUACUUCUGGCUGGGCAAUGACUACCUUUCUAUCUUAAGAACACUGCUUCACUUUUUGGAUCCCAUGACUUCAUCCCUCAUCUCAGGGAGGUUUCAAAUUCUGAGAAAAUUCCAGAAAUCUUUCUACUGACACCCUUGGGGAAGGCUGUCUUCUCUUUCAAGCUGGAGGAAAUUUGAGAGAGCCACUGGGUGUAGAAGAGUCUGGGUUAUUUCCAGCAUGGGGUAAGGAAGAAACAGGAAAAGGUGCUGGUGUUUAAGGACCUCCAACUGCGAGAAGGGCAUGGACCACGCAGCUCUCUGGGGAGGUAAGAAAAGGCUCAGCAUUGUCUGCAAAUUACUAGACUGCUGGAUCCACGUGAGUGGGACCAUGUCCACUGCGUUCGGGUCUGUAUCCCCAGAACCUCACAUCGUGCCUGGCAUGUGGUAGGUUAUCGGAGGCAGAUUUACCAUAAAGCAAAUAAACCUUAAGCUUCAGGGUCCCUUCCAUUUGCAUUCGAAGAAACAUUCACUUUUAUGCCUAACUUUGUAUUUGCAGUUUUAUAUUCAUUUUCAUAACGGGGUCUCCCAACCAUUACAAACUUCAAGCCCCACACAACCUAUACAUCUGCCUCCUGUCGGCAUGCAAUAAACACUUAUUGACCUAAUGAGAAAAAAAAUUUUUAAAAAAGAAAAGGAAGGAAGGAAGGAUGAAAACGUAAACAAAAAAAAAGAAGAAAAAAAAAGAGGAAUAGCAGCUGGGAGGAUCAGAUCCAACCUGGAUCAUCAGAGGCAGCCUUCUUAAACCAUUCCCAAACAUCAAUAGACGAUGAUUUACCUCAAUUAAUUCAGACUGUUAAAAGCUUAGUUCUUAUUUGACAACCAGAGGCUAGAGGCCAACGUAUUUAAGCCUCUCCUAGAGCAUUCUGAGAGAUUGCAGUAAGGGUUGCAAGCAUUUCCAGAGGCAGGAGAGGUGAGUAUGGGGGAGUUUUGUGUUUGGCGCCAUGCCAGGUACUUUCACAUACCUCGUCCCACUUAAUUUAUUGUCCCCACUUCAAAGACGAGGCAACUGAAGGUCAGAAAGGUGGAUCAUUUUCCUUAAAGUCAUGAGACUAUUAACCGGUAAAGUUGGGAUUUAAACUUUGAUCUGUUGCGCCCCAAAUCCUAUGUGUUCUCCAUGAUUCCAUGCUGUUCCACGGUGAGAAAAUAGACGGUCUAUUUGUAGGUUGUAAAAAAAAUCUUAAAAGAAAAAAAAUCACCCAGGAGAAAAUAGGAGACUGAAGUGAAUAGCGAUUAGUGGACAUUACGGAUUAGUUGAUGACUUUGUGACCAGUGGCAUCCGUUAUUCUGUUGCUUAUUAGAACAAGACCCGUGCCAUUCAGUGUAGACUGGGAAGAAUCCAUGCACUUGAGCCACAGGAACUUUAAGAAACAGUGCAUUUGGAGGAGUGAUUUGAAACAGAGCCUGAAGAUGGUUCAAAGAUCAAAUCUGAGGAAGUCGUAAUCAGAGGGAUCAAAAAAAGAUGUUGAGAUUGAAGUGAUAAAAAAUAACUUCUUGGUGGAAUUUUAAUUUCUUUGUAGUUCCGCAAAGCUCUUAGUUAUUCAUUCCUUGUAGUAGGAAGUCUUCAAAGAAGUCAUCUUUUUUGGACACCGCAGUGUGUGCAGGGCAGUUGUGGGAAUUGUGGUGCAUUCAGGAAACACAUGCUGUCAUCUCUUCCCAUGUCACUAACAGGAUGGUUAGGGGCCUUGAUACAUACAGGCCUACAACACCAGCCAACAGUCGCUGCCAUGAUGGAGGGCACAUUAUGAACGGGUAGGAAAUACAUGGUUACUUUUAUGGACUUCCUGACCUUUUUUCUGUGCCUCACCGUUUAGAACGUGGUUUCAUGUGCAUCUUCACAGCAAUCCUGUGAAAUAGGCAGAGAGGGUAUUGCUACUCUCCCAGUAUGCAGGCGAAGAAGGAAAGGAGGUUGCAAAGAGGGGAAGUGAAUUGCCAAAGGCCAUCCAGCUGCUGAGUGGGAGUCCCACUAAUUUCCUCAGAUUCCCAGGCCUGUGUACAUUUUACCAAUCAUUCUUUACAGAGUUACAUUUUACUGGGCAGCGUCUGAAGUACCCAAAGCAUUUUUAACAAUGCGGCAUAUUUCCUAGUCACUGAAUUGAGAACUAAUGCACUAUUUUGACUCAUUAUUAAAAAGCGUGAGAGUAGAAGUCUACGCCUUUGGAAUUGGGAUAAAGACUUGGUUGGCCACAUCUCAGCAGUUGACCAGUGGUGUGCUAGUAAAGUGGCUCUGGGGGCAGGGGUGAGGGGUGGUUGGGUGAGUGUCUGGGAACAAAUGUAGCAUUUGCUCAUUUCCAUCGUGUAAACACUCCCACUGUAGCCAAUUUGAAGCUACCAACAGUUAAAGAUCUACUUCCGGGAAUUCCUGAAUAUUUAACAAAAGGCUCUUAGCCGGUGAGAAGCUAGCCCGCUGCUGACAGUGGUCUCUUCUGUCUUUUCUACUCUUAUUUUUGGACCUAAGAAGCAUCUUGAGAGAAAAUUCUGGACCUGACUUGAAAAUCUUGAGUCCAGUACUGUGGUUAUGCUUUCCCUUCUUUAUUUGUGCCUGUCCAUUAGGAUACAAAUUCAUAUUCUGUAUCUCAUUGAUUUUUUAAAAGUGGCUUGACUUUAUCUGUCUGACAUACACAAGCUGACUACAUUAUUGAUAAUUACUUCUCCUUCUUAAUUCUUAAAGAACAAUGUACUCGUGGAUCUGAAAGUCAGACUUCUAGGGCCGAUAAGAAAGACGUGCUUUCAUUUAAAUGUUCUUCCUUUCCUCGUCAUCAGCAACAUUUCUAUAUAGGACUAAUCCAUUUGAGAUCUCCACCUUUGCCGAAUUUAAUGUAGCUCAGUGUCAAUGAAUGUCUAAUUCCGGGUUUCUGACUUUCUGGCGCUCCUUGCCUUACUGGCACUACCUUACCAUGAUUAAGUCAAAAGACCUGCUUUGUUCACGUUGCUCUGAAAAUCUGAAGUGCAAGGUAUCCAUUCAGUUUUAUUUCUCCCUGGUGGGUACAGCUCUCAUUGGCUACUAAUGAGAAUUACAAAUGUGGCUUAAGGAGAAACUCGUGCCUUUGGACUUGAGGGGCUGGUUAUUUAAAGAUGUAUGGCCAUGGCACUUAAGGAAAAUGAUUUAUCUGUUUUGUUUUGUCCUCCUAUAAAUCAAGAAUACAGCACAGCAUUAAACAUUCCUCAAUAUUUAUGCUAAUAUAAAUUUGGGUUUACAUACUUGACACUAAUUCAGGAGGAGCAGUGGUGUUAGAAUAAUGGCUACCUGCGACAGGGCACGGGUGUUCCUGAACGGCCACUUUAACUCUUUAUUAGGCUGUGGAUGUUCCCUUGUGGAGCAGACACGGCAGGUAUUCCCCGUCUCAGGCACAGUUUCUCUGGUAGGUGCAUUCUGACCAUGCUUUCGGUUUUUCAUUUGGUUUAGUUCGGGGCAUUAGGUCAGCAACUGUAUUUAUAAAUGUCUUACUAAGGAGUCAUCCGGAACAGAGUGAAGCGACAGGACGAGCUCUGUGGGAACUCGGAACCCAGGAGGUUUGGCUGUGUCUGUACAUCUUGGAACAGUCUAUGGAUCCGGCGAGCCAACACGUACAGUGCAGACAUUUCUAAGGACAGGUUUCACGACCACUAACCUAAAAUUCUUUCCUGCCGUUGUGUUGGCAUCACCUGGAGGUGACUGACCCUCUCCAAUUCCUCAACGCCUUUGUGCUUCAGUUUCCUCACAAGUAAAGCGGGGAUACUCACAGGACUCGCCUGGGGAGGAUUGCUGUGACAGCAGGCGACACCAAUGCAGCACAUCGCACACGGCGUAUGCAUGCAGAGGUGGGCUCAACACAGGUCCUCGGGCUUGGCGCUCGCCACGUGCGGGUGGAAUCCCGAUUGUGUCUUUGCACUCUUGGUCCCACUGGAGUAUUUGUGAAAGUCCGUCGGACCCCAACAGUCACAGGCAAUCUUCUGAGAUGUUUUGUUAGAGCUUCCCCCAAUUAGUCCGAAGGAGGAGCUGAGAGCCCGGCUGGGGUUCACUGCGCUGCAAGUGUCUUCAGUGCCUACCUGCCCUGUGUGAAUCGGGCCAGUCUCUGAUUCGUUGCCCGACUGGCCUUUGCGGAGAGAGCCCCGCAAUGCUACUGUCCGCAUUUCUUGGUGUCUGAGUGCAUUUUUGAUGUUACCUAUCUGCAUGCAUCCCCCAAAUGCACACAUUUAAUUUGGUACUAGGUUUCCUUUGAAGAUAUAACGGAUGUGGACUGACCACCAUAUCGCCCAUGAAAAUUUGGAACUUCUUUGAUUACUUUUGAUGCAAAAUACAAUGAGAAUUCAAGGCCUUAUUAUUAUUCCUGCUAACCAGGAGACACGCCAGGUUUAAAGUCAGAUUUGUUUCUGUGUUAAUAAUACAUUUGUAUUACCCUUCCUUGCAGUCCCCGUCUCUUCUCCUGCUAUCUUCACUGUGAGUUUGCACUUGUCAAAAUGAAUAAUAUGCGGCAUCAAUUCAAACUCCACUUUUCCAGUGUGUUCAGCCGUAAUAGUUUCACUUUGCCUUGAUUCUGUUGAUUGCUAUUAAAUCCUGGAUUGCUUUAAAUUCCGUGAGCUAGUCCUCAAAGUAUCGCUUAUAAAUUGUGUGCAUUUAUUAGAAUCUUGCUUAGAACAAAGAGCAUCCAAGCUUCUGGAAACACUGCCUUCCACUUCUGCUCUCUGUGUAGAAGAGGCUAUAGAAACACGUUUUAUCUUUUGAGAAACAAAUUGUGCAAGAAGUGAAUAUAAUACAUUGUUGGAGGUGGGAUUUUUGUUUGUCUUGUUUUAUUCUUUUAUUUUCUUUUUUAUCUGGUGGAGGAAUAAAAUAAUCCAAACCCAACACACUUUAGAGAAGAGUGUGGACUGGGGCCAAGAUUCAUAAUAAAUUUCUUUGCGUCCAUCUGUACAAUAUUGAUGUAAAUGAGGUGUUAGUUGAAUUUAUUAUGGGGCAUUGUUCCUAGGUAAUUCAUCUGGGUUUCAAAAGCCAACCUCCAGCUCUUUUAUUCUUAGAAGUAUGGUUGGUAUAGACUACAUUUUAAGAGAUCCUGUCAAAUAAGAGUGUUGCAAAUACCAAGUCUAUUUUUUUCUGUUUUAGAGAGUUGGACCUGCUUCAGACAACAGCUCAUCCAAAGUGGAGUUAAGUCAAGCUGAGUGAGUAUGGUAAAUAAAAUGUAGUGCCUGUCAGGUGUUGGAUAAUCACACUCUGCAAGUAUAGCUGUGUACUGGGUGCUGGGCAUGUAGCCUUAGGAGGCAUCGUCCUAAAAAACACUAUGUGGGAGGAAGAGAAGAACAAUGAAGUUUGCCAUGAUGCUAAUGAACUUUAAGCUUUAGGGUCCCUCAUUGGUAAGCUGCUCCAUCAUCAGCUCCAAGACCCUGGGUAGGGUCCAGGUAAUAUGCUCACAGAGCCGCAUGUUUUGUAAAGUUUGGACAAGUAAGAUAUUUAAAUGCAAUCGGUUAAGACCCCCGUCUUUGUCUACUCCGGCUUCCCCUCGAUGCUUCCCCAGUCGGUAGCCAGUGUGCUUGGAAUGGCCACCAGUAGUUUGGAGAUGUAGUUGAGGGAAAUUGGGUUGGGACAACAUUUAGUUUGGGUUUCCUAAGAUAUAUUUAUGCAGCCUUCAGUCACUUCCACGUUUCGUUCGGUUAUUGCUAACCACCCCAGUGGAGAAACUGUCCCAGAAUACUUUUACUGCCCACUGUACUGAUUCAUUCACUCAGCAUCAGGACACAAAGAUGCAGAGUCCAGAAGUCAUAUCACAGUAUCAACAUGCUUUACAAGGCGUGGCAUUAAAAAUAAGUGAGCGAUGAAGGACACAAGAGGUUUGAAAUCUAUAGAACCAGAAACUAGUCUCAUCAAUGGCUAAUGAAAAUGAAAGUUCUUUUCUGUCAAGCAUACACUCAGUGAUGAACCAUAUAUCACUCUUCAUAAAGCUAUUGUUUGAGUUGAAUUUUUGUGUCCCCCCACCCCAAAUUCUUAAGUUGAAAACCUAGUACUCAGUGUGAUGGUAUUAGGAAGUGGGGCCUUUGUGAUAUGAUUAGGUCAUGAGGGUAGAGCCCUCACAAAUGGAAUUAGUACUUUUAUAAGAGACCUUGGAGAGCCUCCUUGCCUCUUCUGCUAUGUGAGAUGUGAGAUCGCAGUGAGAAGAUGUCCUCAGUGAAGAAGUGAGCUCUCACCAGACAGUGAAUCUGCCUUGAUCUUGGACUUCCCAGCCUCCAGAACUAAGAGAAAUAAAUGUUUGUUUUUUAAGCCAUUCAGUCCAUGAUAUUUUUGUUUCAGCAGCUCUAAUGGGCUAAGAUACCCCCCAAUUUAUUUUUUCUUUUCUGACAAGAAUGUGUGAAAUAGAACUAAUCAUGAUUCUUGUAUUUGUGCAAACGUCUAGCCAUAUAAUAAACAGAGAUAUAUGUC